UCUCUUACCCGAUCGGGGUAAGAAAUGGGAACGGAGAUGGGGACUGCUGAUGUGACCUUGGCUGCUCCCUAAAGAGCUGCCAGUACCUCGCAGAGCUUGGCUCCCUCUCCCUGUGCAAGCAGAGAUGGGGCAUGAUCUACACAUCUAUUCCCACAUCCUCCACCCAUGCAUGGUGCUGGUGAAGGAGGAGAGGUUCACCAAGAGGGUACCAGCUCCCUUGCACUGCCAUGGAGACAUCUCCCAUCCUCCUUGACUCUCUGUCCCUAGCAGGAGGUCCUCCAGAUCUCACAACCCACCCUGUCUUCAGCUGCAUAUCCAGCCACCUCAUGAACAUAUGAUAUCGUGUGAUGGAUGUGGCAGAGACCGGCAUGUUUGGGCUUGGGCAAAGCACGAGUGACUGCUGCUAAGCUGCCACUAAAGGAAGUGUCUUCUGAAAGUGGUUUCCCUCAUCCAAGCAGGAUGCUGUCACCCCCCUGCACCAUCUCAGCGUGGGAGAGCGGACCCAGCGCUGUGCUGCUGGUGUAGCAGAGGAUGCACCACCACGGGAGGGCAUGGAAGGACCAAAGGAGCAAAUACCAUGCGUGGUUUGGGCUAUUCCUCCUCAUUUUUCUCCCCAUUGCCUUCUCAACAGCAGUUAGAUCGUUAAGUGCAGGAUUUUGUUGAAUGGUCACAGGGAACUUCAGCAGAGCCCUUCCCUGUGUUUUUUUUUUUUUUUUAUCUCCUAAACCACCAGGAUCCCAAUUUAUGUGUGACUUUUCCCGUAAUGCACUCCAGCAGAGUUACUUUGAUCUUGCCCAGUGGAAGGAUGGUCCACAGACCUCAAAAUCUGUUUGCUCAGGUGUGUGUCCAUUUUUUUUUUUCUCUUCUGUACAAACCCCUUCAUUUCUCAGGUUUUUUUUUUUUUUUUUUAAACAAGAAAGAUUAGUCAAGUGAAUUUCCACAACAGGUUUUAUUUGGCUCCAAGUUCAGCUUUAUUGUGGUGCUGCUGCUGAUCCUUGUAUUUUCCUUCUACAGAGUGGUUGUGACAGGUUGGAGCACCUAAUUUGUGCAAGCAGACAGCCCAGAAAAUAAGGAAAAUGCAACAGCUGGAGAAAUCCAGCUCUGAAGGCUGGAAUGGUUUCCUCGUGCAGAUUUCCCCAAAUCACAGCUAAGAAGGGGCAUGGCUUGCUGAGAAAAUGUGUGCCCUGUAAAAUAAAAGGAUUAGGAAACCACUUUAUAGCUUGUGAGAUUUAUGGUUUCAGAACAAAUGGCUGUAGUUCACUUGGCCUGCAGCUCUAAAAGAGGCCAAAACAAACUGCUUUAAAGCUUUGGUUCAAAAGGAAGGCUCAGAUCACCCCUCACGUGGGUCUUUGUAAAUGAAGGGGAUACUGGAAAGAGUCUUGUGUGUCCUGCAGCACCUCUAAGCUACCACUUUAUGUUGCCUGAAUGUGGUAAUAUUGAAAGGUAAAUUUAUUCCAAAUGUCCUAACACAGUGGAAAUGACAACCUGGAAACACAAUGUUUUUAAACUAUACAUUACGGGAAGAAUUGCAGUGGAAAAGUGUGAUGUGACCUUUUUUCCUGUCUCUUGGAGAAAUACAAGCACAAGGCAUGGCAUCGCCUCGCUCUGUUGAAGAGAAGAAUGGAAGUUGUUUUGGGAUUAGCAGCGCCAAAGAAGCUUCAUCUCAGCUUGAUUUGUGUUUCCAAGGGGAGCUUGCUGGUGUGGAUUCUCUGAUGCCUGAUAAAGGGGUAUUGGAACUAACCAGGACCAAGGCAUGGACUCAUCUACUGUCCUGAAAUAAUCCAGGUUGUGUAGCUGUGCCUGUUCACCAGUGUGGUUUUGGUCACAAUCUCCAACAAUUUCCAGGGAGAGCACAGCCCUUGGUUCUCUCUCAGCGGGCAGCAUGGUUGAUGCCACUGUGUCUUGCAUUGUGUUUAAUCCACUGUCUGUGACUAUAGAAUAAAUCCCAAGUAAGGACUACACGCUUUGCCAAAGAUAAGCCAGAUUUUCACUGCAGCUGCCAAAGCUGAAUAGUGGCUGGUUUGUGUCCAGUGAAGAACAGACUUGGACUAAAUGGAACAGCUGCACAAAGAUGUUCAACAUAAUAGAUGUCUCUGCUGGCUUCACAGUGCGCUGGAUGAGCCGCUUGCCCUGGAGGACUGGAGACACCAAGGUGGAAAUCAAGCUGUGACAAAACCCGCUUGUGACUUCAGCUCCCAGGGGUUUUGCUUCUGAUUAAUAAUAUCCUUUGUAUAACACAAAGGUAACAGCCAGCUGAGAAAGCUCUCACAAUCUCCCCUUUCUCAAGUAUCAGAAUGGGAAUAAGACACUCGCUGUCAUCCAUCAUUGCUGCUAGUUCAGAGCACUUGUUGCCUACUCUGACGUUUUGAUUCUCAUCCCCUUCCCAUCUCCCUGGUGGUCUCUUUGCUUGUUUCCAGCAAGUUUGCUCUCCUUCAAUCUCAUACGCACCCACGAGUUCUGCGGACUAAGGGCAGUGACAACUUGAAAGCACCCCGUGGCCAGCAUGAAGGGCUGUGGGAUGUCAUGUAGAGCUCAGGAUGUCUGAGCAA
Molecule: long non-coding RNA, 2549 nt
Organism: Tyto alba (common barn owl)
Lineage: Eukaryota; Metazoa; Chordata; Aves; Strigiformes; Tytonidae
Exons: 5
Source: RefSeq, a predicted model, not a curated record